CAUAUUCUAGUGUAAAGCAAGAACAAUCAUUAGGCCAUGUUAGGCAUGCCGAAACAAUGAUAUUGAAUAAUAAGUGACAUUUUUAGCAAGAUUAGAUUGAUCCUAAGAGUUGUACCCACAUACAUUCAAACACAGCAAAGAUGAGCAUGAGAUGGGGAAUUUGAUUGAUUAUAGCUGGUUGACCGGGCAUGAUGUUGGGAAUAGAGUUUUUGCAGUUUAGGUAGGACCAAUGCUGAAGAUGCUUUACCAUGCCUAUCUAGCCACUGCUACAUGAGCAGCAGUUCUCACUAUCUCCUUAAGCUGAAGCUUCCAAGCCAUUAGCUCUAAAAGAAGUUUUCCAAGUUUAAACUCAUAAGAAUUGCCACCGUCAUAUCCUUCAUUUGAGCUUUUCAAUUUCAAUACGUUCGUUUACCCUUUCAAAUUCUAAUCAGGAAACUCCAGACCGUCAGCUAUCAACCACCACAAGAAACGGUAUGAAGUAGUAUUCUCCUGCGCAAAGAACAGAUUUGAGGGAGUUAGUUCUCUAGGAGAAAGAUGAAAACAAUUUUCAGUAUUAGUAAGAGAAGCUUAAUUAUACUAGUAAGUAAAGUUUGAAAAUUAGCUAAUUUGUGAAAAGUAAGGAGGAUAGAAAUUUAGAAUAAAAGAAUCAAAAGGCAAGACUUUUACAGUUCAGAAAAGAAAACCCCUAAAAGCAAACCAAAAAAACCAGCCACUCGGAGAUCCUUGAAUUGCGGUCCCGGAAGAAGCUUCGAAUCUUUCUGAGCAAAACAACUCUUUGUCUUGUCUUGUCUUGUCUUGGUCUUUAAGUAACCUAAUCUAGCCACCUACAAAAAUAAAAUUCCUCAACCAAGUCCGUUUAAUAUCUCAGAAAUGAGGUUGCUUUUUUUCUGUUUCUUGAUUCUCCUACCCUCUGGUUUCUCC
RNAcentral lists this long non-coding RNA (921 nucleotides) under Gossypium raimondii (Peruvian cotton). Its description in RNAcentral is "long non-coding RNA (GRAI_LNC001741)". The record is from RNAcentral. Lineage: Eukaryota; Viridiplantae; Streptophyta; Magnoliopsida; Malvales; Malvaceae.